RNAcentral lists this transfer RNA (71 nucleotides) under Ventrifossa garmani (Sagami grenadier). RNAcentral's name for it is "tRNA-Lys". Lineage: Eukaryota; Metazoa; Chordata; Actinopteri; Gadiformes; Macrouridae. The record is from RNAcentral.
CACUAAGAAGCUAAUUGAUCAGCGCUAGCCUUUUAAGCUAGAGUUUGGUGACUUAACAUCACCCUUAGUGG